RNAcentral lists this ribosomal RNA (253 nucleotides) under uncultured bacterium. Its description in RNAcentral is "partial 16S ribosomal RNA". It matches the Rfam family "Bacterial small subunit ribosomal RNA", at positions 524 to 776 of the family's 1533-position model. The record is from RNAcentral.
CUCGUGAGUGGCAAGCGUUGUCCGGAAUUACUGGGCGUAAAGAGCACGUAGGCGGUUUGGUAAGCGGCGGGUGAAAUCUCAGGGCCCAACCCUGGGACUGCUCGCCGAACUGCCAGGCUAGAGUGCGGGAGAGGGCAGUGGAAUUCCUGGUGUAGCGGUGGAAUGCGUAUAUAUCAGGAGGAACACCUGUGGCGAAGGCUGCUGCCUGGAACGCGACUGACGCUGAGGUGCGAAAGCUAGGGGAGCGAACGGG